AUAUCCUUGGCUACCUGCUCCCUCAUCAUACAUAACAAUCCUCGAAGAUAAUCAUCCAACUCCAGAAGUCUUUCGAAGUAUUCAUACCUUUUGUAGCUCUCCCCUCGAGGUACCUUCGAGCACUUGUCAACAAGCUCGAUACCUUUCUGCAAUUGUUCCCUCAGAUUUUCCAGUUCCUCCUUUGAUAGAUGCAGUAUGUUGUUAAGCUGUGAUAUCUCUUGUAUGAGUGGUUGGAAGGAACUAGCCGUGGAUUUGAGAUCAACCAAGACCGGUUUGAAGCUCCUUUUGCCAUUCAAUUCUACAUCAACUUCCCAAACCAAGAGUUCAAGCAAACGGCAAAACACUUGCUCCAGAUCCUGACCAGCCCCUCCUCCUCCAUUUCUCACCUGACCAUUGCCUUCGUUCUGCUCCUCCAGCUUCACUUUUAGUAAACCACAUAACCUUCUUUCCAGGUCAUUUUGUCUGUCGCGAAUGUUCCUUGCAACAAGCAAGAGCUCAUUCGUAUGUCUCUCUUCCUGCAGCUUUAGAAUGUACAACACUCUUCUAAGAGACCUGAACAAUUCGGCAAGUUGGUCGGAGUAGCUUCGCUUCAUGCAGUGAUAGUUCCACAUGCCAAGACUCGAUAGCUGGCCAACUAGCUUCACUCCCUCCUCCAUUUGCCGCUCGAGAUUUCGGGUCUCCUCAUUUGGCAGGAGAUACAUUUCCGGAUCAUGUUGAGCGAUUCGUGGUUGUAGAGAAGACCAGCGUCAGUCUGAGAUCUUCAAGGAGCGACGUAAA
Molecule: RNA transcript, 777 nt
Organism: Fragaria vesca subsp. vesca
Lineage: Eukaryota; Viridiplantae; Streptophyta; Magnoliopsida; Rosales; Rosaceae
Exons: 2
Source: RefSeq, a predicted model, not a curated record